AUCUUAUUAGUAUAAAUCAGUACAUUUAACUUCCAAUUAAAUAGUUUAAUUUUAAUUUAAAUAAGAUA
RNAcentral lists this transfer RNA (68 nucleotides) under Stenopus hispidus (banded coral shrimp). RNAcentral's name for it is "tRNA-Gly". Lineage: Eukaryota; Metazoa; Arthropoda; Malacostraca; Decapoda; Stenopodidae. The record is from RNAcentral.